This 490-nucleotide ribosomal RNA is filed under the name uncultured bacterium. RNAcentral describes it as "partial 16S ribosomal RNA". It matches the Rfam family "Bacterial small subunit ribosomal RNA", at positions 30 to 507 of the family's 1533-position model. The record is from RNAcentral.
AUUGAACGCUGGCGGCAUGCUUUACACAUGCAAGUCGGACGGCAGCACAGAGAAGCUUGCUUCUUGGGUGGCGAGUGGCGAACGGGUGAGUAAUAUAUCGGAACGUACCGAGUAAUGGGGGAUAACUAAUCGAAAGAUUAGCUAAUACCGCAUAUUCUCUGAGGAGGAAAGCAGGGGACCUUCGGGCCUUGCGUUAUUCGAGCGGCCGAUAUCUGAUUAGCUAGUUGGUGGGGUAAAGGCCUACCAAGGCGACGAUCAGUAGCGGGUCUGAGAGGAUGAUCCGCCACACUGGGACUGAGACACGGCCCAGACUCCUACGGGAGGAAGCAGUGGGGAAUUUUGGCCAAUGGGCGCAAGCCUGAUCCAGCCAUGCCGCGUGUCUGAAGAAGGCCUUCGGGUUGUAAAGGACUUUUGUCAGGGAAGAAAAGGCUGUUGCUAAUAUCAAUAGCUGAUGACGGUACCUGAAGAAUAAGCACCGGCUAACUACGUG